RNAcentral lists this ribosomal RNA (492 nucleotides) under uncultured bacterium. RNAcentral's name for it is "partial 16S ribosomal RNA". It matches the Rfam family "Bacterial small subunit ribosomal RNA", at positions 29 to 507 of the family's 1533-position model. The record is from RNAcentral.
AGUGAACGCUGGCGGUAGGCCUAACACAUGCAAGUCGAACGGCAGCACAGUAAGAGCUUGCUCUUACGGGUGGAGAGUGGCGGACGGGUGAGGAAUGCAUCGGAAUCUACUUUUUCGUGGGGGAUAACGUAGGGAAACUUACGCUAAUACCGCAUACGACCUACGGGUGAAAGCAGGGGAUCUUCGGACCUUGCGCGAGUGAAUGAGCCGAUGUCGGAUUAGCUAGUUGGCGGGGUAAAGGCCCACCAAGGCGACGAUCCGUAGCUGGUCUGAGAGGAUGAUCCGCCACACUGGAACUGAGACACGGUCCAGACUCCUACGGGAGGCAGCAGCGGGGAAUAUUGGACAAUGGGCGCAAGCCUGAUCCAGCCAUACCGCGUGGGUGCAGAAGGCCUUCGGGUUGUAAAGCCCUUUUGUUGGGAAAGAAAAGCAGCAGGUUAAUACCCCGCUGUUCUGACGGUACCCAAAGAAUAAGCACCGGCUAACUUCGUG